AGAGUUUGAUCCUGGCUCAGAUUGAACGCUGGCGGCAGGCCUAACACAUGCAAGUCGAGCGGAUGAAAGGAGCUUGCUCCUGGAUUCAGCGGCGGACGGGUGAGUAAUGCCUAGGAAUCUGCCUGAUAGUGGGGGACAACGUUUCGAAAGGAACGCUAAUACCGCAUACGUCCUACGGGAGAAAGCAGGGGACCUUCGGGCCUUGCGCUAUCAGAUGAGCCUAGGUCGGAUUAGCUAGUUGGUGAGGUAAUGGCUCACCAAGGCGACGAUCCGUAACUGGUCUGAGAGGAUGAUCAGUCACACUGGAACUGAGACACGGUCCAGACUCCUACGGGAGGCAGCAGUGGGGAAUAUUGGACAAUGGGCGAAAGCCUGAUCCAGCCAUGCCGCGUGUGUGAAGAAGGUCUUCGGAUUGUAAAGCACUUUAAGUUGGGAGGAAGGGUUGUAGAUUAAUACUCUGCAAUUUUGACGUUACCGACAGAAUAAGCACCGGCUAACUCUGUGCCAGCAGCCGCGGUAAUACAGAGGGUGCAAGCGUUAAUCGGAAUUACUGGGCGUAAAGCGCGCGUAGGUGGUUCAGUAAGUUGGAAGUGAAAUCCCCGGGCUCAACCUGGGAACUGCUUUCAAAACUGCUGAGCUAGAGUACGGUAGAGGGUGGUGGAAUUUCCUGUGUAGCGGUGAAAUGCGUAGAUAUAGGAAGGAACACCAGUGGCGAAGGCGACCACCUGGACUGAUACUGACACUGAGGUGCGAAAGCGUGGGGAGCAAACAGGAUUAGAUACCCUGGUAGUCC
Molecule: ribosomal RNA, 793 nt
Filed under: uncultured bacterium
Lineage: Bacteria
Description: bacterial SSU rRNA
Rfam family: Bacterial small subunit ribosomal RNA
Source: RNAcentral